GAUGAACGUUGGCGGCGUGCCUAACACAUGCAAGUCGAACGCUAGUAGCAAUAUUAGAGUGGCGCACGGGUGAGUAACACGUAGCUUAUCUACCUCCCAGCGCGGGAUAACGGUUACGAAGAACUGCUAAUAACCGCAUAAGCUCACGAGCUAUAGAGGCUGGUGAGAAAAGGACUUAGGUCACUGGGAGGCGGGGCGGGU
This 201-nucleotide ribosomal RNA is filed under the name uncultured bacterium. RNAcentral's name for it is "partial 16S ribosomal RNA". It matches the Rfam family "Bacterial small subunit ribosomal RNA", at positions 28 to 236 of the family's 1533-position model. The record is from RNAcentral.